CCUACGGGUGGCAGCAGUGAGGAAUAUUGGUCAAUGGGCGGAAGCCUGAACCAGCCAAGUCGCGUGAGGGAUUAAGGCCCUGCGGGUCGUAAACCUCUUUUGCCGGGGAGCAGUGGUCCGGACGUGUCCGGGCCGGGAGAGUACCCGGAGAAAAAGCAUCGGCUAACUCCGUGCCAGCAGCCGCGGUAAUACGGAGGAUCCGAGCGUUAUCCGGAUUUAUUGGGUUUAAAGGGAGCGUAGAUGGGUUGUUAAGUCAGUUGUGAAAGUUUGCGGCUCAACCGUAAAAUUGCAAUUGAUACUGGCAGCCUUGAGUACAGUUGAGGUAGGCGGAAUUCGUGGUGUAGCGGUGAAAUGCUUAGAUAUCACGAAGAACUCCGAUUGCGAAGGCAGCCUACUAAACUGCCACUGACAUUGAUGCUCGAAAGUGUGGGUAUCAAACAGGAUUAGAUACCCCAGUAGUC
RNAcentral lists this ribosomal RNA (461 nucleotides) under uncultured bacterium. RNAcentral describes it as "partial 16S ribosomal RNA". It matches the Rfam family "Bacterial small subunit ribosomal RNA", at positions 338 to 795 of the family's 1533-position model. The record is from RNAcentral.